UGGCGGCGUGCAUAACACAUGCAAGUCGAACGAUGUAACUUAAAUGAAUUCUUCGGAAUGAUUUUAAAUGGAUUAGUGGCGAACGGGUGAGUAACGCGUGAGUAACCUGCCUUACACAAGGGGAUAGCCUCUGGAAACGGAGAAUAAUACCCUAUGAGAUUACAACUUCGCAUGAAGCAGUAAUCAAAGUGUUAGCGGUGUAAGAUGGACUUGCGUCUGAUUAGCUAGUUGGUGAGAUAACAGCUCACCAAGGCAACGAUCAGUAGCCGGCUUGAGAGAGUGUACGGCCACAUUGGGACUGAGACACGGCCCAGACUCCUACGGGAGGCAGCAGUGGGGAAUUUUGCACAAUGGGGGCAACCCUGAUGCAGCGACGCCGCGUGAUUUAGAAGGCCUUCGGGUUGUAAAAAUCUUUUGUAUAGGAAGAAAAUGACAGUACUAUACGAAUAAGGUCC
This 455-nucleotide ribosomal RNA is filed under the name uncultured Eubacteriales bacterium. RNAcentral describes it as "bacterial SSU rRNA". It matches the Rfam family "Bacterial small subunit ribosomal RNA", at positions 37 to 494 of the family's 1533-position model. Lineage: Bacteria; Bacillati; Bacillota; Clostridia; Eubacteriales. The record is from RNAcentral.